CACCAGCAGAAGAAAGACCUCUGAUCCACCAAAAAAGUGCUCUGUAAAGAGCUGAGCCAUACAAGAUUGGAAGGAUAUGGUAUUUUCCCCAAAGAACAAGUUUGAAAUCAGUUUGGGGGAUAUAGAUGAGGAAUAAAUGACAUCUAUAAAUGACAAGCUACCAAGAAAAAAGUACAUUGGUGAGCCCAGGCUCUUACUGAAAGUUACAGUCACAACAAUGAGCAUGUUGCCUAUCAUGGUCAAAAUAUAGAAGAGCAAGAACAUAAAAAAAAGAACUGUCUGCUCCUUUGUAUUCUGCGUGAGACCCAAGAGGACAAAGUGUUUUCAUGGAAAUCAAACCAACAAAUGCAUCACUUUCAAGUCUUUGGAGGUACGGGGCCAAUAUAUAUCAGAGAAUAAGAGAGAUUCUGGUAUGCUAAGAAGAUUGGAGACCAUUCCAGCCCCAAGACUCUUUCAAGGCCAUUCAAUUUUCAGAGUGUUCUUCUCAGCAGGGAUAGAGAAAUCAUGUAUACCUCUUUUUAAAUCCAAAAAAAAGUUAGCUUAACAUUCUAGGCCAGGUGAAUAGUUUCCUAACAAUUUAAAA
This 583-nucleotide long non-coding RNA is filed under the name Equus caballus (horse). Its description in RNAcentral is "lncRNA (ENSECAG00000058222.1)". Lineage: Eukaryota; Metazoa; Chordata; Mammalia; Perissodactyla; Equidae. The record is from RNAcentral.